This 475-nucleotide ribosomal RNA is filed under the name uncultured bacterium. RNAcentral describes it as "bacterial SSU rRNA". It matches the Rfam family "Bacterial small subunit ribosomal RNA", at positions 30 to 507 of the family's 1533-position model. The record is from RNAcentral.
AUUGAACGCUGGCGGAAUGCUUUACACAUGCAAGUCGAACGGUAGAGGGGGCAACCCCUCGAGAGUGGCGAACGGGUGAGUAAUAUAAUCGGAACGUGCCCAGUCGUGGGGGAUAACGUAGCGAAAGUUACGCUAAUACCGCAUACGAUCUACGGAUGAAAGCGGGGGAUCGCAAGACCUCGCGCGAUUGGAGCGGCCGAUAUCAGAUUAGGUAGUUGGUGGGGUAAAGGCUCACCAAGCCAACGAUCUGUAGCUGGUCUGAGAGGACGACCAGCCACACUGGGACUGAGAUACGGGCCAGACUCCUACGGGAGGCAGCAGUAGGGAAUAUUGGACAAUGGGUGCGAGCCUGAUCCAGCCAUGCCGCGUGCAGGAAGACGGCCUUCUGGGUUGUAAACUGCUUUUGCCAGGGGAUAAAAAGACCAUGCGUGGUCAAUUGAAGGUACCUGGUGAAUAAGCCACGGCUAACUACGUG